This 460-nucleotide ribosomal RNA is filed under the name uncultured bacterium. Its description in RNAcentral is "partial 16S ribosomal RNA". It matches the Rfam family "Bacterial small subunit ribosomal RNA", at positions 338 to 795 of the family's 1533-position model. The record is from RNAcentral.
CCUACGGGGUGCAGCAGUGAGGAAUAUUGGUCAAUGGACGAGAGUCUGAACCAGCCAAGUAGCGUGAAGGAUGACUGCCCUAUGGGUUGUAAACUUCUUUUAUAUGGGAAUAAAAUGUUCCACGUGUGGGAUUUUGUAUGUACCAUAUGAAUAAGGAUCGGCUAACUCCGUGCCAGCAGCCGCGGUAAUACGGAGGAUCCGAGCGUUAUCCGGAUUUAUUGGGUUUAAAGGGAGCGUAGGUGGAUUGUUAAGUCAGUUGUGAAAGUUUGCGGCUCAACCGUAAAAUUGCAGUUGAAACUGGCAGUCUUGAGUACAGUAGAGGUGGGCUGAAUUCGUGGUGUAGCGGUGAAAUGCUUAGAUAUCACGAAGAACUCCGAUUGCGAAGGCAGUUCACUGGACUGCAACUGACACUGAGGCUCGAAAGUGUGGGUAUCAAACAGGAUUAGAUACCCUUGUAGUC